CUCUACUCCAGAAUUCUGAGCCCUAGCUCAGUGGGUUCCUUGGGAAGAUAGCAUGGCCAUUUUUGCUGGCUGAAUAGGCCUGAGGAGAUGAAGAGAAAGUCAAGAUUUGUGGCACAAAAGAGGGACCAGGGACACACAAUUCAAAUGGGCUUUAUAUUGCAGACAUCAUAACUCAGAGGGAUCGGAGGAGAAAGACAGCAGUGAAGGAAAGGAGCUGAUUGAAUUCUCUCCGACUCUGUAAAGAUGUGAGGAGGUGGUAUGUCUGGAAGCCAUGAACAUCCCUAAAGCAUCACCCCACCUAACCCCAGGACAUAGAUUGAGUUUUCUGCAGUACAUGGCAAGGAUUGGCCCUGUAUUUCAUCUAUUCCUUCUGGAAGCUGAAAUAAUAAACUAUUGUGAGGAUGGGUGUAAUCGCUUCCUCUUCAACACA
Panthera uncia (snow leopard) is the source of this 430-nucleotide long non-coding RNA. RefSeq lists it as uncharacterized. Lineage: Eukaryota; Metazoa; Chordata; Mammalia; Carnivora; Felidae. The transcript is spliced from 2 exons. The record is from RefSeq and is a predicted model, not a curated record.